AUGAAGCUGGAAUUGCUAGUAAUGGCAGGUCAGCAUACUGCCGUGAAUACGUUCCCGGGCCUUGUACACACCGCCCGUCACACCAUGAGAGUUGGAAAUACCCGAAGCCUGUGAGCUAACUUAAAGAGGCAGCAGUCGAAGGUAGAGCCAAUGGUUGGGGUGAAGUCGUAACAAGGUAUC
Molecule: ribosomal RNA, 180 nt
Filed under: uncultured bacterium
Lineage: Bacteria
Description: partial 16S ribosomal RNA
Rfam family: Bacterial small subunit ribosomal RNA
Source: RNAcentral